RNAcentral lists this ribosomal RNA (668 nucleotides) under Pediococcus sp. Ajda-S. RNAcentral's name for it is "bacterial SSU rRNA". It matches the Rfam family "Bacterial small subunit ribosomal RNA", at positions 796 to 1462 of the family's 1533-position model. Lineage: Bacteria; Bacillati; Bacillota; Bacilli; Lactobacillales; Lactobacillaceae. The record is from RNAcentral.
CAUAGCGUAAACGAUGAAAUGCUAAGUGGUGGAGGGGUUUCCGACCUUCAGUGCUGCAGAUAACGCAUUAAGCAUUCCGCCUGGGGAGUACGACCGCAAGGUUGAAACUCAAAAGAAUUGACGAGGGCCCGCACAAGCGGUGGAGCAUGUGGUUUAAUUAGAAGCUACGCGAAGAACCUUACCAGGUCUUGACAUCUUCUGCCAAUAUAAGAGAUUAGACGUUCCCUUAGGGGACAGAAUGACAGGUGGUGCAUGGUUGAAGUCAGCUCGUGUCGUGAAAUGUUGGGUUAAGUCCCGCAACGAGCGCAAACCUUAUUAUUAGUUGCCAGCAUUAAAUUGGGCACUAUAGUGAGACUGCCGGUGACAAACCGGAGGAAGGUGGGGACGAAAGUCAAAUCAUCAUGCCCCUUAUGACCUGGGCUACACACGUGCUACAAUGGACGGUACAACGAGUAGCAAAACCGCGAGGUUUAGCUAAUCUCUUAAAACCGUUCUCAGUUCGGAAUGCAGGAUGCAACUCGCCUGCACGAAGUUGGAAUCGUUAGUAAACGCGGAUCAGCAUGCCGCGGUGAAUACGUUCCCGGGCCUUGUACACACCGCCCGUCACACCAUGAGAGUUUGUAACACCCAAAGCCGGGGAGUAACCUUGGGGAGCUAGCCGUUAAAGG